This 465-nucleotide ribosomal RNA is filed under the name Vreelandella stevensii. RNAcentral describes it as "partial 16S ribosomal RNA". It matches the Rfam family "Bacterial small subunit ribosomal RNA", at positions 338 to 795 of the family's 1533-position model. Lineage: Bacteria; Pseudomonadati; Pseudomonadota; Gammaproteobacteria; Oceanospirillales; Halomonadaceae. The record is from RNAcentral.
CCUACGGGGGGCUGCAGUGGGGAAUAUUGGACAAUGGGCGAAAGCCUGAUCCAGCCAUGCCGCGUGUGUGAAGAAGGCCUUCGGGUUGUAAAGCACUUUCAGUGGGGAAGAAAGCCUUGGGGCUAAUACCCUCGAGGAAGGACAUCACCCACAGAAGAAGCACCGGCUAACUCCGUGCCAGCAGCCGCGGUAAUACGGAGGGUGCGAGCGUUAAUCGGAAUUACUGGGCGUAAAGCGCGCGUAGGCGGUCUGAUAAGCCGGUUGUGAAAGCCCCGGGCUCAACCUGGGAACGGCAUCCGGAACUGUCAGGCUAGAGUGCAGGAGAGGAAGGUAGAAUUCCCGGUGUAGCGGUGAAAUGCGUAGAGAUCGGGAGGAAUACCAGUGGCGAAGGCGGCCUUCUGGACUGACACUGACGCUGAGGUGCGAAAGCGAGGGUAGCAAACAGGAUUAGAUACCCCUGUAGUC